Molecule: transfer RNA, 63 nt
Filed under: Liriomyza trifolii (celery leafminer)
Lineage: Eukaryota; Metazoa; Arthropoda; Insecta; Diptera; Agromyzidae
Description: tRNA-Arg
Source: RNAcentral
GAAUAUGAAGCGAUAAAUGGCAAUUAGUUUCGACCUAAUUUUAGGUAUAAUUACCCUUAUUCU